Molecule: ribosomal RNA, 301 nt
Filed under: uncultured bacterium
Lineage: Bacteria
Description: partial 16S ribosomal RNA
Rfam family: Bacterial small subunit ribosomal RNA
Source: RNAcentral
CAGUCGCGCGGUAAUACGGAGGGUCCGAGCGUUAAUCGGAAUUACUGGGCGUAAAGCGUGCGCAGGCGGUUUGUUAAGCGAGAUGUGAAAGGCCUGGGCUCAACCUAGGAAUAGCAUUUCGAACUGGCGAACUAGAGUCUUGUAGAGGGGGGUAGAAUUCCAGGUGUAGCGGUGAAAUGCGUAGAGAUCUGGAGGAAUACCGGUGGCGAAGGCGGCCCCCUGGACAAAGACUGACGCUCAUGCACGAAAGCGUGGGGAGCAAACAGGAUUAGAUACCCGCGUAGUCCCUGUCUCUUAUACA